Molecule: ribosomal RNA, 245 nt
Filed under: uncultured Elusimicrobium sp.
Lineage: Bacteria; Pseudomonadati; Elusimicrobiota; Elusimicrobia; Elusimicrobiales; Elusimicrobiaceae
Description: partial 16S ribosomal RNA
Rfam family: Bacterial small subunit ribosomal RNA
Source: RNAcentral
GACGUAGGUGGCAAGCGUUACUCGGAAUUACUAGGCGUAAAGCGAAUGUAGGCGGAAAUUUAAGUCUGUUGUGUAAUCUCCGGGCUCAACCCGGAAACUGCAACGGAAACUGGGUUUCUUGAGUGAGGCAGAGGAAGACGGAAUUCCUGGUGUAGCAGUGAAAUGCGUAGAUAUCAGGAGGAACACCGGUGGCGAAGGCGGUCUUCUGGGCCUUUACUGACGCUAAAGUUCGAAAGCUAGGGGAG